AGGGCGCAUGGUGGAUGCCUUGGCAACAGGAGCCGAAGAAGGACGUGGGAAUCUGCGAUAAGCCUGGUGGAGUCGAUAACCGGACGUUGAGACCAGGAUUUCCGAAUGGGGGAACCCCGCACGACUUUCAAGAUCGUGUGACCGCCUGCUGAACACAUAGGCAGGUUGGAGGGAACGCAGGGAAGUGAAACAUCUCAGUACCUGCAGGAAGAGAAAACAAAAGUGAUUCCGUGAGUAGUGGCGAGCGAAAGCGGAUGGGGCUAAACCGUAUGUGUGUGAUACCCGGCAGGGGUUGCAGGCUUGGGGUUGUGGGACGUGUCUGAUGGGUCUGCCGGCUUGUCGACGUGUACGUGUAGUGGUAGUCGAAGUCGUGGUGAGUGCGACGGCGUAGAGGGUGUGACCCCCGUAGACGAAACUGCUGCAUGGCGUGACGCUGUUCCCGAGUAGCACCGGGUCCGUGAAAUCCGGUGUGAAUCUGCCAGGACCACCUGGUAAGCCUGAAUACUACCUGUUGACCGAUAGCGGAUCAGUACCGUGAGGGAAUGGUGAAAAGUACCCCGGGAGGGGAGUGAAAUAGUACCUGAAACCAUGUGCCUACAAACCGUCGGAGCCUCCUUGUUGGGGUGACGGCGUGCCUUUUGAAGAAUGAGCCUGCGAGUUAGUGAUACGUGGCGAGGUUAACCCGUGUGGGGAAGCCGUAGCGAAAGCGAGUCUGAAUAGGGCGACUUGAGUUCGACGGAUCAGACCCGAAACCGGGUGAUCUAGCCAUGGGCAGGUUGAAGGUGCGGUAACACGCACUGGAGGUCCGAACCGACUAGUGUUGCAAAACUAGCGGAUGAGCUGUGGAUAGGGGUGAAAGGCUAAACAAACUUGGAAAUAGCUGGUUCUCUCCGAAAACUAUUUAGGUAGUGCCUCAAGUAUUACCAUCGGGGGUAGAGCACUGUUAUGGCUAGGGGGUCAUGGCGACUUACCAAACCAUUGCAAACUCCGAAUACCGAUGAGUGAUAUCCGGGAGACAGACGGCGGGUGCUAACGUCCGUCGUCAAGAGGGAAACAACCCAGACCGCCAGCUAAGGCCCCAAAUUCCUAGUUAAGUGGGAAACGAUGUGGGAAGGCACAGACAGCUAGGAGGUUGGCUUAGAAGCAGCCAUCCUUUAAAGAAAGCGUAAUAGCUCACUAGUCGAGUCGGCCUGCGCGGAAGAUGUAACGGGGCUAAGCCAGUUACCGAAGCUGCGGAUUUGCAAUUUAUUGCAAGUGGUAGGAGAGCGUUCUGUACGCCUGUGAAGGUGGAUCGUGAGGUCUGCUGGAGGUAUCAGAAGUGCGAAUGCUGACAUGAGUAGCGUUAAAGGGGGUGAAAAGCCCCCUCGCCGUAAGCGCAAGGUUUCCUACGCAACGUUCAUCGGCGUAGGGUGAGUCGGCCCCUAAGGCGAGGCAGAGAUGCGUAGCUGAUGGGAAACAGGUCAAUAUUCCUGUACCGAUGUGUAGUGCGAUGUGGGGACGGAGAAGGUUAGCUCAGCCGGGUGUUGGAUGUCCCGGUUCAAGCCUGUAGUCGUGCCUGGUAGGCAAAUCCGCCGGGCUUAGAUGAGGGGUGAUAACGAGGCGGCUUGCCGCCGAAGUGAGUGAUACCCUGCUUCCAGGAAAAGCCACUAAGCUCCAGCUACACACGACCGUACCGCAAACCGACACUGGUGCGCGAGAUGAGUAUUCUAAGGCGCUUGAGAGAACUCUGGAGAAGGAACUCGGCAAAUUGACACCGUAACUUCGGGAGAAGGUGUGCCCUCGUUACGUGAACCGCGCACGCGGGGAGCGGAAGGGGGUUGCAGAGAAUCGGGGGUAGCGACUGUUUACCAAAAACACAGCAGCGUGCGAAGCCGUAAGGCGCUGUAUACGCUGUGACGCCUGCCCGGUGCUGGAAGAUUAAAUGAUGGGGUGCAAGCUCUUGAUUGAAGUCCCAGUAAACGGCGGCCGUAACUAUAACGGUCCUAAGGUAGCGAAAUUCCUUGUCGGGUAAGUUCCGACCUGCACGAAUGGCAUAAUGAUGGCGGCGCUGUCUCCAGCAGAGACUCAGUGAAAUCGAAAUCGCAGUGAAGAUGCUGUGUACCCGCGGCUAGACGGAAAGACCCCGUGAACCUUGACUGUAGGCUGAUAUUGGGCUCGUGCUGCAACUGUGUAGGAUAGGUGGGAGACUGUGAACCCCUGGCCCCAGCUAGGGGGGAGUCAUCGGUGAAAUACCACCCUUUUGUUGCAUAAGUUCUAACGUCGAUUCCUGUGAAUCCAGGCGACGGACAGUGUCAGUUGGGCAGUUUGACUGGGGCGGUCUCCUCCCAAACGGUAACGGAGGAGCCCAAAGGUACCCUCAGCCUGGUUGGCAAUCAGGCGUCGAGUGCAAUGGCACAAGGGAGCUUGACUGCGAGACCUACAAGUCGAGCAGGGACGAAAGUCGGGCUUAGUGAUCCCACGGUACCGAGUGGAAGGGCCGUGGCUUACCGGAUAAAAGCUACCCCGGGGAUAACAGGCUUAUCUCCCCCAAGAGUUCACAUCGACGGGGAGGUUUGGCACCUCGAUGUCGGCUCGUCGCAUCCUGGGGCUGGAGUAGGUCCCAAGGGUUGGGCUGUUCGCCCAUUAAAGCGGUACGCGAGCUGGGUUCAGAACGUCGUGAGACAGUUCGGUCCCUAUCCGCUGCGCGCGUUGGAAAUUUGAGAAGGUCUGUCCUUAGUACGAGAGGACCGGGACGGACGAACCUCUGGUAUGUCAGUUGUACCGCCAGGUGCAUGGCUGAUUAGCUACGUUCGGGAUGGAUAACCGCUGAAAGCAUCUAAGCGGGAAGCCCACCUUAAGAUUAGAUUUCCCUAAAGAGCCGUUGU
This 2864-nucleotide ribosomal RNA is filed under the name Selaginella bryopteris. RNAcentral's name for it is "bacterial LSU rRNA". It matches the Rfam family "Bacterial large subunit ribosomal RNA". Lineage: Eukaryota; Viridiplantae; Streptophyta; Lycopodiopsida; Selaginellales; Selaginellaceae. The record is from RNAcentral.